UGGCUCAGUUGGUAGAGCAUGGUGUUUGCAACGCCUGGGUUGUGGGUCCGAUUCCCAU
Molecule: non-coding RNA, 58 nt
Organism: Salmo salar (Atlantic salmon)
Lineage: Eukaryota; Metazoa; Chordata; Actinopteri; Salmoniformes; Salmonidae
Source: Rfam